Molecule: long non-coding RNA, 675 nt
Filed under: Homo sapiens (human)
Lineage: Eukaryota; Metazoa; Chordata; Mammalia; Primates; Hominidae
Description: non-protein coding lnc-TOMM22-3:1
Source: RNAcentral
UGGUCUUGAUCUCCUGACCUCAUGAUCCACCCGCCUCAGCCUCCCAAAGUGCUGGGAUUACAGGUAUGAGCCACCGCACCGGGCCUGUUCUAUUUUUCUAGUUAAGGGAACUGAAGCUCAGAGAGGUGUCACCAGCAGGUGUUCAUUCCCAUGCCAGCCUUGCCCCCCGGCUUUUCCCAGGCAGGCUCCUGCGUGCCCACUGGCUCCAGCCUGGUCCUCUGUCUCUUGGCUGCUUCACUCCUGCUCUUUGUCCCGACUCUGGCCCUGCUUACAGGGGCCACUACCUGCUGGUGCCUCCAUAACAAGCGUCUGGCGUUGAGACCCCUGGCAUGGCAGGGGCUUUGGGGUCUGGUUUCCACAAGGCUUAGCCAUGGCAGAACCUCGUUUUAUUUUAACUCUUUGCCCCUACAAACAAACAGCAGUACUUGCCAGAACCAUUCUUGGGAUUCAGGAGCUCGGGCGACUGCCUUGGCCUCUGGCCGCACCCAGGAGGGUGGGGUUGGAUCUGUGUAGUUGCCAGGCCCACACCUGCCAGCAGGGGGCUGACUGGAUCCAUGCUUUACUGUGUUUAAUGGGGGUAACAGGGGUCCCUACAGCCCUCCCAGCUAAACAUUUGGAACAAAACACCAGCCCUUUUGUAGUGGAUGCAGAAUAAAAUUGUUAAUCCAAUCACCU